AUAAUAAUAAUAAUAAUUACUAAAAAUUGUUCUGAAUCCAUUUAUGCAUGCCAUAUUGCCAUUAAUGGAGCAUAUAGCAAAAGCCAAAAACACCAACAAAAUCAAGUAAUUGACCCUGAUUUUGAACUGCUCUUUAAAAAUAGUCCAAUGCACACGAGAUUAAUACUACAGAAUAAAACUUUAACAUUACAAUCAUUACAAAUAUUACAUCACGCUAUUAUCGAAAGGGAGUACAAUACAUCGAAACACACAACAUAGAAUUAAGUCAAAGAUUAUUUAUUUGUUUAUUAUUCAGCAACCUUCACACCUGAGAGAUAAACGCGGCUCUGAAUCACAGUGCCUCCUAUCCAAAAACCAGGCAUGACCAUUAGCCCAACGAUAGGCUUCUGGUUUUCAUCCAUUAUCAGAUUUUUCACAACACUUUCCAUGUAAACCUCAGAGAAUUCACUACCUCUCUUAACCUGAAAGACCUUGACAUUAGGAUCAAAAGAAUAUGCUAAACUGUGCAGAAGCCAGAUUGACUUGGCCAAUUUUAAGAAAGCUUGGUAAAAGGGAGUUCUUGGAUGCCCACCCCCCAUUACAUAAUUUCGCUGAUCCAAAUUUCCAAAGAAUGACGCUUCCAUCUUUGGAUGAACCACUGCCAGGUACUUGCUCCUGCAAAAUUUACCAAAAAUGGAAUCUGGGUUCUGACCGAGAACAUCUAAUGGAUCCAUCUCCCUUAGUGCAAGAAAUUGGUGAAAGAAACUCUCUUUGGUGAAUGUCACAUUGUCUGAUUUUAUAGAAAAACUUUCCUGCUGAAACCCACUGAACAUUCUUUGACAUAUAUGAGAUUCAAAAGCAUACUUUUUGUGAGCUCUCUUCGCAUAAAAAACAUCAGGUUCAAUAGAGUUAGCAGCAGCAUCAAGAUCCCACCCAGCUGCUUUCAUCAUGUUGAUCAAAGGCUUAGAAAAAUCAUGAAUGGCUUUGAAAGCUGCUUCCACAGCAAAUAUGAAGAGCUCAGGCGUGAGAUCCACCGGAAAAAAUCCAUUUUCAUCUCCAGAACCUUCAGAUUCUUUGGUUGACAAGCCCCUAAGCUUAAGAUUCUUUUCCAGUUUCCCUCGCUUCUGAGUUGCCUCCUCAAUCUGCUGCUGUAACUGAAGAAUCUCAGCAUCUUUAUUUUGAAUUUCAGAUUGGAAUUUCUUCACCAUUACCUCAUAUGUUUUCAGUAGGCUCUGUUGUUCCUGAAUCUCUGCAGCUAAGCGAGAGUCCUGAGGGGAAACGCAUACUGGUUUUGGAUAGUUCUCCCUGUAAAAAUGCUUGAGCUCAGAUAGGUUCUUCAGUUCAGAAAUUACAAGUUUGUCAGCAGCCUGGAUUUUUUCAGGAUCAUAUGGAGUAUGAGCAGAUUGAAGCUGUAUGUAUGCUGACUUCAAGGAGGAGAUGUUUGUAAAUAUUUUGGAUAUCAAAGCUUCCACAGCUUCAGGAUUUUGAUUAAUAGACUCUUCCAUAGGUUGAGGGUGGACCUUUUGGCUGUUGCUCUCACGGAGUUGGUUAUCUUUCAACCCAGUGGGUAGCAUAGCUACUGCUAAAGAAUGGGUGGUCAAAUAGGACUCCUUCAGAAAUAGCACCAAUAUAGCACAACCUACAAAGAUCACAAACCGCCCUCAGAAUGUAUCCAGCAAACAUAAUACCCUCCAACCUGAAAAUAGAAAUAAAAGAAAUUAGAUUAUUCCAACUGUCCUAAUAUGUUUCUUAAGCAGGUUAAUGCACAUACAAUUCAUCAUGAACAUCAAAUUCAGUAGUAAGUGCUCAAACACAAAAAGUGAAGAAUCUUUCUUGUGAAAUGCCAAUGUAGCCAGAAAAUUUGUGAGUGGAGCAGCCAACACUAGUAAGCCAAUUUGUACAACAUUACCAAAUCUCUGACACAUCACAACUUCCAAAAUAUUGAUUGUGAAAAUAUUUCCAUUUGUGUUUGAUAGCUAGAACCUAGAACAUAGAAUAGGUUUUUUUUGCCUAUCAAACUAUGUAUGCUGAAGGGGCAAUAAAAUUGUAUCACACAGAAAAGAUUAAAAUUUUAGAGAAUUACAAUCAUAUUAAGAAUUUUAGAGAAUUACAAUCAUAUUAAGGGGGAAGAUACAACCGAAGACCUGUAGUCUCCCAAAUUUACACAGGCUCUCUCCAUGUAAGCUUCUAAACCCCAUCAAUUGAUACUGAGCUAAGAAUAGCUGAUUACCAAUUCAGCAUUCCCAAUGUAUCGACUGAUAAAGCAAAUCAAACUCCUAGUUAAUAAAACAUCCCGCUAUCAUUCAACAACCGCACAGAGAAACACACAAAAGCAAUCAAACGAACGCCUAAUUUGAUGCCAAAUAGUCGAUUUUCUUGAGUCGCACCACCUGAAACAACAGAGAUUCCUAAAGAAUUUUUUUAAUUCCUUUAGAGCCAAAGUGAUAAAGAGCUCUAGAAUCAGCUAAGCUAGCUUACAAUUGUGAAUGUAAAAUUUGACGUUCAUGCGAUUUCGCUUGAUAUGUAGGAAGACGACAAGGAUGAGGAAAAGAAUGUA
This 2536-nucleotide unclassified non-coding RNA is filed under the name Hevea brasiliensis (rubber tree). The record is from RNAcentral. Lineage: Eukaryota; Viridiplantae; Streptophyta; Magnoliopsida; Malpighiales; Euphorbiaceae.